This 560-nucleotide ribosomal RNA is filed under the name uncultured bacterium. RNAcentral's name for it is "partial 16S ribosomal RNA". It matches the Rfam family "Bacterial small subunit ribosomal RNA", at positions 355 to 1375 of the family's 1533-position model. The record is from RNAcentral.
UGGGGAAUAUUGGACAAUGGGGGCAACCCUGAUCCAGCCAUGCCGCGUGAGUGAUGAAGGCCUUCGGGUUGUAAAGCUCUUUUGGCGGGGACGAUGAUGACGGUACCCGCAGAAUAAGCCCCGGCUAACUUCGUGCCAGCAGCCGCGGUAAGACGAAGGGGGCUAGCGUUGUUCGGAAUUACUGGGCGUAAAGCGAGUGUAGGCGGUUGCCGUAGUCAGGUGUGAAAGCCUUGAGCUCAACUCAAGAAAUGCACUUGAUACUGGGUGACUAGAGGACCGGAGAGGAUAGUGGAAUUCCCAGUGUAGUGGUGAAAUACGUAGAGAUUGGGAAGAACACCAGUGGCGAAGGCGGCUAUCUGGACGGUUACUGACGCUAAGACUCGAAAGCGUGGGGAGCAAACAGGAUUAGAUACCCUGGUAGUCCACGCCCUAAACGAUGUCAACUAGUUGUUGGGGAUUCAUUUCCUUAGUAACGUAGCUAACGCGUGAAGUUGACCGCCUGGGGAGUACGGUCGCAAGAUUAAAACUCAAAUGAAUUGACGGGGUCAUAGCUGUUUCCU